CCUACGGGAGGCAGCAGUGGGGAAUAUUGGACAAUGGGCGAAAGCCUGAUCCAGCCAUGCCGCGUGUGUGAAGAAGGUCUUCGGAUUGUAAAGCACUUUAAGUUGGGAGGAAGGGCAGUAAGCGAAUACCUUGCUGUUUUGACGUUACCGACAGAAUAAGCACCGGCUAACUCUGUGCCAGCAGCCGCGGUAAUACAGAGGGUGCAAGCGUUAAUCGGAAUUACUGGGCGUAAAGCGCGCGUAGGUGGUUUGUUAAGUUGAAUGUGAAAUCCCCGGGCUCAACCUGGGAACUGCAUCCAAAACUGGCAAGCUAGAGUAGGGCAGAGGGUGGUGGAAUUUCCUGUGUAGCGGUGAAAUGCGUAGAUAUAGGAAGGAACACCAGUGGCGAAGGCGACCACCGUGGGGCUCAUACUGACACUGAGGUGCGAAAGCGUGGGGAGCAAACAGGAUUAGAUACCCGUGGUAGUCCACGCCGUAAACGAUGUACAACUAGCCGUAGGAACGUCCUUGNGUGUUUAGUGGCGC
This 525-nucleotide ribosomal RNA is filed under the name uncultured bacterium. Its description in RNAcentral is "bacterial SSU rRNA". It matches the Rfam family "Bacterial small subunit ribosomal RNA", at positions 338 to 849 of the family's 1533-position model. The record is from RNAcentral.